This 459-nucleotide ribosomal RNA is filed under the name uncultured bacterium. RNAcentral's name for it is "partial 16S ribosomal RNA". It matches the Rfam family "Bacterial small subunit ribosomal RNA", at positions 338 to 795 of the family's 1533-position model. The record is from RNAcentral.
CCUACGGGAGGCAGCAGUGAGGAAUAUUGGUCAAUGGUCGGGAGACUGAACCAGCCAAGCCGCGUGAGGGAGGAAGGUACAGAGUAUCGUAAACCUCUUUUGUCAGGGAACAAAGGCGGGGACGUGUCCCCGGAUGAGUGUACCUGAAGAAAAAGCAUCGGCUAACUCCGUGCCAGCAGCCGCGGUAAUACGGUGGAUGCGAGCGUUAUCCGGAUUUAUUGGGUUUUAAGGGUGCGCAGGCGGUCUGUUAAGUCAGCGGUCAAAGCCCGGGGCUCAACCCCGGCCCGCCGUUGAAACUGGCAGUCGCGAGUUGGAGAGAAGUAUGCGGAAUGCGCGGUGUAGCGGUGAAAUGCAUAGAUAGCGCGCAGAACUCCGAUUGCGAAGGCAGCAUGCCGGCUCCACACUGACGCUGAGGCACGAAAGCGUGGGUAUCGAACAGGAUUAGAUACCCUUGUAGUC